Molecule: non-coding RNA, 519 nt
Organism: Carlito syrichta (Philippine tarsier)
Lineage: Eukaryota; Metazoa; Chordata; Mammalia; Primates; Tarsiidae
Source: the annotation of a RefSeq genome assembly
AGACGAAUCUCCAUGGACUUUGGCCUCCACUGGGUUUUCUUUAUUGUUCUUUUAACAGGUGUCCAGUGUGAGGUACAAUUGGUGGAAUCUGGGGGAGGCUUGGUCCAACCUAGGGGAUCCCUGAGACUCUCUUGUGAGGCCACCGGGUUCGCCUUCAAUAGCUUCUGGAUGUAUUGGAUCCGCCAGGCUCCAGAAAAGGGACUGGAGUGGAUCUCAUACAUUAAUCCUAAUAGUGGUAGCACAGGCUAUGCAGACUCUGUGAAGGGCCGGUUCACCACCUCCAGCGACAACGCCAAGAACAUGCUUUUUCUGCAAAUGAACAACCUGCAAAAGGAGGACACGGGUGUCUAUUUCUGUGCAAAAGACACAGUGAGUAAAUAUCCUUAUAGCCCUGACAAAAACUGCCCUGGAACGCCAAAAUUCUUGUUACACUCAGAUGAAGGCAUUAGAAUGUCUUCGGAGGGGACCAUAGCUCCCAUCAGAGUAGGAGUAUUAUAUCUGCAAAUUGUGGGAACAGAG